RNAcentral lists this ribosomal RNA (412 nucleotides) under uncultured bacterium. RNAcentral's name for it is "bacterial SSU rRNA". It matches the Rfam family "Bacterial small subunit ribosomal RNA", at positions 1037 to 1450 of the family's 1533-position model. The record is from RNAcentral.
GGUGCUGCAUGNCUGUCGUCAGCUCGUGUCGUGAGAUGUUGGGUUAAGUCCCGUAACGAGCGCAACCCUUGUCCUUAGUUGCUAACAUUUAGUUGAGAACUCUAAGGAGACUGCCGGUGACAAACCGNAGGAAGGUGGGGACGACGUCAAGUCAUCAUGGCCCUUACGACCUGGGCUACACACGUGCUACAAUGGGGCGCACAGAGGGUUGCCAACCCGCGAGGGGGAGCUAAUCCCACAAAACGUCUCGUAGUCCGGAUUGGAGUCUGCAACUCGACUCCAUGAAGUCGGAAUCGCUAGUAAUCGCGAAUCAGAAUGUCGCGGUGAAUACGUUCCCGGGCCUUGUACACACCGCCCGUCACACCAUGGGAGUGGGUUGCAAAAGAAGUAGCUAGACUAACCUUCGGGAGGU